Molecule: ribosomal RNA, 111 nt
Filed under: bacterium
Lineage: Bacteria
Description: partial 16S ribosomal RNA
Rfam family: Bacterial small subunit ribosomal RNA
Source: RNAcentral
CAACGAAGAGUUUGAUCCUGGCUCAGGACUAACGCUGGCGGCGUGCCUAACACAUGCAAGUCUUACGAGAAAGCGGUAGCAAUAUCGUGAGUAAAGUGGCGAACGGGUGAG